GAGGGAGGCGCGAAGCGGCAAAGAUUGCUAAUCUUUAGUUGCCCGAGUUAAACUCUCGGGCUCUCUCG
Molecule: transfer RNA, 68 nt
Filed under: Forcipiger flavissimus
Lineage: Eukaryota; Metazoa; Chordata; Actinopteri; Chaetodontiformes; Chaetodontidae
Description: tRNA-Ser
Source: RNAcentral